GGGUUGUGAGGUUAAGCGACUAAGCGUACACGGUGGAUGCCCUGGCAGUCAGAGGCGAUGAAGGACGUGCUAAUCUGCGAUAAGCGUCGGUAAGGUGAUAUGAACCGUUAUAACCGGCGAUUUCCGAAUGGGGAAACCCAGUGUGUUUCGACACACUAUCAUUAACUGAAUCCAUAGGUUAAUGAGGCGAACCGGGGGAACUGAAACAUCUAAGUACCCCGAGGAAAAGAAAUCAACCGAGAUUCCCCCAGUAGCGGCGAGCGAACGGGGAGCAGCCCAGAGCCUGAAUCAGUGUGUGUGUUAGUGGAAGCGUCUGGAAAGGCGCGCGAUACAGGGUGACAGCCCCGUACACAAAAAUGCACAUGCUGUGAGCUCGAUGAGUAGGGCGGGACACGUGGUAUCCUGUCUGAAUAUGGGGGGACCAUCCUCCAAGGCUAAAUACUCCUGACUGACCGAUAGUGAACCAGUACCGUGAGGGAAAGGCGAAAAGAACCCCGGCGAGGGGAGUGAAAAAGAACCUGAAACCGUGUACGUACAAGCAGUGGGAGCACGCUUAGGCGUGUGACUGCGUACCUUUUGUAUAAUGGGUCAGCGACUUAUAUUCUGUAGCAAGGUUAACCGAAUAGGGGAGCCGAAGGGAAACCGAGUCUUAACUGGGCGUUAAGUUGCAGGGUAUAGACCCGAAACCCGGUGAUCUAGCCAUGGGCAGGUUGAAGGUUGGGUAACACUAACUGGAGGACCGAACCGACUAAUGUUGAAAAAUUAGCGGAUGACUUGUGGCUGGGGGUGAAAGGCCAAUCAAACCGGGAGAUAGCUGGUUCUCCCCGAAAGCUAUUUAGGUAGCGCCUCGUGAAUUCAUCUCCGGGGGUAGAGCACUGUUUCGGCAAGGGGGUCAUCCCGACUUACCAACCCGAUGCAAACUGCGAAUACCGGAGAAUGUUAUCACGGGAGACACACGGCGGGUGCUAACGUCCGUCGUGAAGAGGGAAACAACCCAGACCGCCAGCUAAGGUCCCAAAGUCAUGGUUAAGUGGGAAACGAUGUGGGAAGGCCCAGACAGCCAGGAUGUUGGCUUAGAAGCAGCCAUCAUUUAAAGAAAGCGUAAUAGCUCACUGGUCGAGUCGGCCUGCGCGGAAGAUGUAACGGGGCUAAACCAUGCACCGAAGCUGCGGCAGCGACGCUGAUGCGUUGUUGGGUAGGGGAGCGUUCUGUAAGCCUGCGAAGGUGUGCUGUGAGGCAUGCUGGAGGUAUCAGAAGUGCGAAUGCUGACAUAAGUAACGAUAAAGCGGGUGAAAAGCCCGCUCGCCGGAAGACCAAGGGUUCCUGUCCAACGUUAAUCGGGGCAGGGUGAGUCGACCCCUAAGGCGAGGCCGAAAGGCGUAGUCGAUGGGAAACAGGUUAAUAUUCCUGUACUUGGUGUUACUGCGAAGGGGGGACGGAGAAGGCUAUGUUGGCCGGGCGACGGUUGUCCCGGUUUAAGCGUGUAGGCUGGUUUUCCAGGCAAAUCCGGAAAAUCAAGGCUGAGGCGUGAUGACGAGGCACUACGGUGCUGAAGCAACAAAUGCCCUGCUUCCAGGAAAAGCCUCUAAGCAUCAGGUAACAUCAAAUCGUACCCCAAACCGACACAGGUGGUCAGGUAGAGAAUACCAAGGCGCUUGAGAGAACUCGGGUGAAGGAACUAGGCAAAAUGGUGCCGUAACUUCGGGAGAAGGCACGCUGAUAUGUAGGUGAAGUCCCUCGCGGAUGGAGCUGAAAUCAGUCGAAGAUACCAGCUGGCUGCAACUGUUUAUUAAAAACACAGCACUGUGCAAACACGAAAGUGGACGUAUACGGUGUGACGCCUGCCCGGUGCCGGAAGGUUAAUUGAUGGGGUCAGCGCAAGCGAAGCUCUUGAUCGAAGCCCCGGUAAACGGCGGCCGUAACUAUAACGGUCCUAAGGUAGCGAAAUUCCUUGUCGGGUAAGUUCCGACCUGCACGAAUGGCGUAAUGAUGGCCAGGCUGUCUCCACCCGAGACUCAGUGAAAUUGAACUCGCUGUGAAGAUGCAGUGUACCCGCGGCAAGACGGAAAGACCCCGUGAACCUUUACUAUAGCUUGACACUGAACAUUGAGCCUUGAUGUGUAGGAUAGGUGGGAGGCUUUGAAGUGUGGACGCCAGUCUGCAUGGAGCCGACCUUGAAAUACCACCCUUUAAUGUUUGAUGUUCUAACGUUGACCCGUGAUCCGGGUUGCGGACAGUGUCUGGUGGGUAGUUUGACUGGGGCGGUCUCCUCCUAAAGAGUAACGGAGGAGCACGAAGGUUGGCUAAUCCUGGUCGGACAUCAGGAGGUUAGUGCAAUGGCAUAAGCCAGCUUGACUGCGAGCGUGACGGCGCGAGCAGGUGCGAAAGCAGGUCAUAGUGAUCCGGUGGUUCUGAAUGGAAGGGCCAUCGCUCAACGGAUAAAAGGUACUCCGGGGAUAACAGGCUGAUACCGCCCAAGAGUUCAUAUCGACGGCGGUGUUUGGCACCUCGAUGUCGGCUCAUCACAUCCUGGGGCUGAAGUAGGUCCCAAGGGUAUGGCUGUUCGCCAUUUAAAGUGGUACGCGAGCUGGGUUUAGAACGUCGUGAGACAGUUCGGUCCCUAUCUGCCGUGGGCGCUGGAGAACUGAGGGGGGCUGCUCCUAGUACGAGAGGACCGGAGUGGACGCAUCACUGGUGUUCGGGUUGUCAUGCCAAUGGCACUGCCCGGUAGCUAAAUGCGGAAGAGAUAAGUGCUGAAAGCAUCUAAGCACGAAACUUGCCCCGAGAUGAGUUCUCCCUGACUCCUUGAGAGUCCUGAAGGAACGUUGAAGACGACGACGUUGAUAGGCCGGGUGUGUAAGCGCAGCGAUGCGUUGAGCUAACCGGUACUAAUGAACCGUGAGGCUUAACCUUACAACGCCGAAG
RNAcentral lists this ribosomal RNA (2925 nucleotides) under Escherichia coli. RNAcentral's name for it is "23S ribosomal RNA". It matches the Rfam family "Bacterial large subunit ribosomal RNA". The record is from RNAcentral. Lineage: Bacteria; Pseudomonadati; Pseudomonadota; Gammaproteobacteria; Enterobacterales; Enterobacteriaceae.